CAUGCGUUGGGCCUCAACCUAAAAUAUGACAUCCACCGGGAUGGUUCUGCAUAACUUUUUCACUAUCCAAUGUAUGUAGAUCCUUGGAGAAAAGAUGCCAGAGUCUACCAUGAUAUCAAGUACUAACCAUGACAGUAUUACACACAUUCCAUAAGACAUUACUGACCUUUUGACUCCACCCUUCCAUCCACCCCAGUGCACUAUAGAUCAUGAGGACCCUCUGUCAACCAAAUGACCCUG
Molecule: long non-coding RNA, 240 nt
Filed under: Elaeis guineensis (African oil palm)
Lineage: Eukaryota; Viridiplantae; Streptophyta; Magnoliopsida; Arecales; Arecaceae
Description: long non-coding RNA (EGUI_LNC034865)
Source: RNAcentral